RNAcentral lists this ribosomal RNA (386 nucleotides) under Choanoflagellata sp. Its description in RNAcentral is "partial small subunit ribosomal RNA". It matches the Rfam family "Eukaryotic small subunit ribosomal RNA", at positions 582 to 975 of the family's 1831-position model. Lineage: Eukaryota; Choanoflagellata. The record is from RNAcentral.
AUUCCAGCUCCAAUAGCGUAUAUUAAAGUUGUUGCAGUUAAAAAGCUCGUAGUUGGACUUCUGAUUCGAAAGAUCGGUCCGCCGCAAGGCGAGCACUGAUUCUUCGAGUCUUCCUCUCGUAGUUGUUUGGCGCACUUGAUUGGGUGCCAGAUGAAUAUGGGACCUUUACUUUGAAAAAAUUAGAGUGUUCAAAGCAGGCAAUCGCUUGAAUACAUUAGCAUGGAAUAAUAGAAUAGGACUUUGGUUCUAUUUUGUUGGUUUCUAGGACCGAAGUAAUGAUUAAUAGGGACAGUUGGGGGCAUUAGUAUUUAAUUGUCAGAGGUGAAAUUCUUGGAUUUAUGAAAGACUAACUACUGCGAAAGCAUUUGCCAAGGAUGUUUUCAUUA